This 66-nucleotide transfer RNA is filed under the name Bifidobacterium breve. RNAcentral describes it as "tRNA-Pro". RNAcentral also lists the same sequence under 1 other name. The record is from RNAcentral. Lineage: Bacteria; Bacillati; Actinomycetota; Actinomycetes; Bifidobacteriales; Bifidobacteriaceae.
CGGGCUAUAGCGCAGUUUGGUAGCGCGCCUGCUUUGGGAGCAGGAUGUUCCCAAAGCGUUGCGCUU